AACGAACGCUGGCGGCAGGCUUAACACAUGCAAGUCGAACGCACCUUUCGGGGUGAGUGGCAGACGGGUGAGUAACGCGUGGGAAUCUACCCUUCUCUACGGGAUAGCUCCGGGAAACUGGAAUUAAUACCGUAUACGUCCUGAGGGAGAAAGAUUUAUCGGGGAAGGAUGAGCCCGCGUUGGAUUCGCUAGUUGGUGGGGUAAAGGCCUACCAAGGCGACGAUCCAUAGCUGGUCUAAGAGGAUGAUCAGCCACAUUGGGACUGAGACACGGCCCAAACUCCUACGGGAGGCAGCAGUGGGGAAUAUUGGAAAAUGGGCGCAAGCCUGAUCCAGCCAUGCCGCGUGAGUGAUGAAGGCCCUAGGGUUGUAAAGCUCUUUCAGUGGGGACGAUAAUGACGGUACCCACAGAAGAAGCCCCGGCUAACUUCGUG
This 433-nucleotide ribosomal RNA is filed under the name uncultured bacterium. Its description in RNAcentral is "partial 16S ribosomal RNA". It matches the Rfam family "Bacterial small subunit ribosomal RNA", at positions 29 to 507 of the family's 1533-position model. The record is from RNAcentral.